CCAAUAGCGUAUAUUAAAGUUGUUGCAGUUAAAAAGCUCGUAGUUGAAUUUCGGGAUCAAUAUUUCGGUCAUGCCGUUGGUAUGCACUGUUAUCAUUGAUUUCUCACCUUCUAAAGAACCGUAAUGCCAUUAAUUUGGUGUUACGGGGAAUUAGGACUGUUACCUUGAAAAAAUUAGAGUGUUUAAAGCAGGCAUUUUGCUUGAAUACAUUAGCAUGGAAUAAUAAAAUAGGACGGCAUGAUUCUAUUUUGUUGGUUUCUAGGAUCACCGUAAUGAUUAAUAGGGAUAGUUGGGGGCAUUAGUAUUCAAUUGUCAGAGGUGAAAUUCUUGGAUUUAUUGAAGACUAACUACUGCGAAAGCAUUUGCCAAGGAUGUUUUCAUUAAUCAAGAACGAAAGUUAGGGGAUCGAAGACGAUCAGAUACCGUCGUAGUCUUAACCAUAAACUAUGCCGACUAGGAAUCAGACGAUGUUAAUUUUUUAAUGACUCGUUUGGCACCUUACG
RNAcentral lists this ribosomal RNA (503 nucleotides) under uncultured Glomus. RNAcentral's name for it is "SSU rRNA". It matches the Rfam family "Eukaryotic small subunit ribosomal RNA", at positions 591 to 1092 of the family's 1831-position model. Lineage: Eukaryota; Fungi; Glomeromycota; Glomeromycetes; Glomerales; Glomeraceae. The record is from RNAcentral.